ACCGGAUCUACUUCCGGCUCUGGUUCAGUCACGUGUGUGAACAGAGCAUGACCGAGGUUAAACCGCCGGGCUGGUUCCACUACUGAGCUGCGGGCUGAGCGGAGGGUCAUACCGGGACAUAUACCGGGUCUGUGAACGCUUGUCCGAGUGCAGACCUCAGCUCUCGCGGUCAUGAACGUCCCGUGGUUUAUAAAAGCAGCGGCUAGAAGCGUCGGCGGCUCUGUGGGGUCAGCAGUAUCCAGAUCAGGCCUGCUGUGUUCCUCUAGAACUUCCCGGAAAAUGUCAUCAAGACAAGCUGACCACCUCGAACGGACGGCUAGUAAUUAUAGACAAGAGGUGAGUGACUUUUUUAUUUUUAAUUACAUUUGAUACACAUAAUUUUAUUAUAAUUAUUUCAGCAUUUGCCUUUAAAAUGUCUAGUUGUGUCUCUAGUAGGAAUAAAUGCUUGUGAGCUUUUGUUUGGGAAAAAAGU
Molecule: long non-coding RNA, 472 nt
Filed under: Astyanax mexicanus (Mexican tetra)
Lineage: Eukaryota; Metazoa; Chordata; Actinopteri; Characiformes; Acestrorhamphidae
Description: lncRNA (ENSAMXG00005021580.1)
Source: RNAcentral